Nylanderia fulva is the source of this 850-nucleotide non-coding RNA. NCBI's taxonomy places the organism in Eukaryota, Metazoa, Arthropoda, Insecta, Hymenoptera, Formicidae. The record is from RefSeq and is a predicted model, not a curated record.
AAACAGAAAGUACGCAGAUUAUGGAUACACUCCAGGAAUAUAUAUUUGGCACCUUCAACAUUCGAGCACGUAUCUCUCCAUUUUUACCAAAUGGUAUCAAAUGUUUGUGUAUAGAUUAUGUUUUACAAAGUAAAUCUGGUAAAGAUAUCAUUGUAUAUACAAUAUUUCAUAGCGUGGCAAAAAGACUUGGUCUACGUUGCGAUGUACUAGCUGUUUUUAAUCGAAUCUGUAUAUUUUGGAAACCAGAAUUCGUCACGAAUAAUUUAGAAAAUGCACGAUGUUUACACACACAAAACCAUUCCCCUGCGUAUUUUAGUAUUGAAAAUCGAUCAGAACACAUGUCUGAGAGACCAGUCGCAAUAACAAUUACAAAGGUUAAAAAUUUCUUAUUUAUUACUUCUAAUAAUUUUAAGUUAUUAACUGUAAGCAUUUUUAUAUAUUUUAACUUUAUUGCCGUAUGUAUAAGGGAAAGGAAAGCGAGAGAGAUGUUAAUCUAUUUUAUUUAUAUUUUCGUUUACUUGUCUUUAGACGGUUUAGUUUUAUUAUGCGUUAUAUUUUUAUUUAUUUGUGCGACCGUCAACCUAAUCUCUCUCGUUCGUAAGAAUUAUUGUUUUCGCGAGCACCGAACGAUUUUGUGUAAAAUUACUCCGAUUGGUCCGGUACUUUGGGGUGGGAAUAUUUUAGACAAGCGAGUAUAAAAGUGAGGAUAUUUGAGCGCGCGACACACUUUGACACAGUCUGACAAUCUGAGAAAGUACUUAUUCUGGCGGCGUUACCAGCAGCUCCGGCGUCUGUAUCGACUCUACAGUAUAUAUAUAUAUAUACACAUCGGAUCGCAAAUAAAUACAUU